RNAcentral lists this ribosomal RNA (712 nucleotides) under Thelohanellus sinensis. Its description in RNAcentral is "bacterial SSU rRNA". It matches the Rfam family "Eukaryotic small subunit ribosomal RNA", at positions 599 to 1199 of the family's 1831-position model. The record is from RNAcentral. Lineage: Eukaryota; Metazoa; Cnidaria; Myxozoa; Bivalvulida; Myxobolidae.
UUGCUUUAAAGUUGUUGCGUUUAAAACGCUCGUAGUUGGAUCACGCAGCAGUGUUCAGUAAUCUUUUGUUCGACACCAUUCAGUGCGUCCGUUUCAAUACGGCCACCGAUGGUUCGUCAUUAGAUGACAAUGCUGGACACUGCUAGUUGCACGUGAGAUAGAUUGUUGGCCUUAAAUGUGCCGAUAUUCUUGUCUUGCGGGGUGUGCCUUGAAUAAAACAGAGUGCUCAAAGCGGGUUAUUGCCUGAAUGUUAUAGCAUGGAACGAACAAUCGUGUAUAUGUGUACGUCAUCAAAUGGUGAUGAGCCCUUGGUUCGUCGUUGUUUGAGGCGUGCACGGCACCCACCAAAAUAUGGCUGUUGGUUCCAUAUACGGUGAUGAUUAAUAGGAGCGGUUGGGGGCAUCAGUAUUUGGCCGCGAGAGGUGAAAUUCUUAGACCGGCCAAGGACUAACAAAUGCAAAGGCACUUGUCUAGACCGUUUCCAUUAAUCAAGAACGAAAGUGGGAGGUUCGAAGACGAUCAGAUACCGUCCUAGUUCCCACUGUAAACUAUGCCGACCUGGGAUCGGUUUAGAGAUGUUACAAGCUCUAGAUCGGUCCCCCUGGGAAACCUGAAGUUUUUCGGUUACGGGGAGAGUAUGGUCGCAAGGCUGAAACUUAAAGGAAUUGACGGAAGGGCACCACCAGGGGUGGAGCCUGCGGCUUAAUUUGAC